RNAcentral lists this long non-coding RNA (452 nucleotides) under Brassica napus (rape). RNAcentral describes it as "long non-coding RNA (BNAP_LNC005477)". The record is from RNAcentral. Lineage: Eukaryota; Viridiplantae; Streptophyta; Magnoliopsida; Brassicales; Brassicaceae.
AAAAAAAUGGAAAUCAGUUUGUUUAAAUGGGGAAAGAAUAAAAAAAAACAAUCUAAAGGGAAAAUUGUACCCCUAAUUCCCGUAACCCUAAUAAAAAUAAAACAAUCUCUCCGCCUCUCUCUAUCACAGCGACGAAGAAGGCGAUUGCGUCUUCUCCGGUAAAAUCAACGGCGAGUGCAGACGCCACCGGUGGAAAUUUCGGUUCCCACACUAUUGUCAUAGUACAAACACCAAACAUGAAGCCUAUCCAUCAUUUUCAAACCCGUGAGGGCUUCUACAUCAUCUUUGCAUUAUACUCUUUUAAAUCUUCUACAUCAUCUUUGCAUUAUACUCUUUUAAAACAAAAUAUAACCAUAUUAGUUGGAGAGUUGUACUGGUUAUACGCAUUUCAGUUUUACUAAUAUACAUGUUAUACUCCUUCUAGCUGUAUUAUAGGCUAUUACAAAACACAU